ACGGGAGGCAGCAGUGAGGAAUAUUGGUCAAUGGGCGGAAGCCUGAACCAGCCAAGUCGCGUGGAGGAUGAAGGUAUUAUGUAUUGUAAACUUCUUUAGUCGCAGAGAAAUAAGGAGGUCGAGACCUCUGAUGCUAGUAUGCGAAGAAUAAGGAUCGGCUAACUCCGUGCCAGCAGCCGCGGUAAUACGGAGGAUCCGAGCGUUAUCCGGAUUUAUUGGGUUUAAAGGGUGCGCAGGCGGUCGAUUAAGUCAGUGGUCAAAUCACGGUGCUCAACGCCGUUCCGCCAUUGAUACUGGUUGACUUGAUUCCGGUCGAGGCAGGCGGAAUUCGUAGUGUAGCGGUGAAAUGCAUAGAUAUUACGAAGAACUCCGAUUGCGUAGGCAGCUUACCAGGCCGGCAAUGACGCUCAUGCACGAAAGUGCGGGGAUCGAACAGGAUUAGAUACCCUGGUA
RNAcentral lists this ribosomal RNA (453 nucleotides) under uncultured Porphyromonadaceae bacterium. RNAcentral describes it as "partial 16S ribosomal RNA". It matches the Rfam family "Bacterial small subunit ribosomal RNA", at positions 341 to 792 of the family's 1533-position model. Lineage: Bacteria; Pseudomonadati; Bacteroidota; Bacteroidia; Bacteroidales; Porphyromonadaceae. The record is from RNAcentral.